GGUUAAGCGACUAAGCGUACACGGUGGAUGCCCUGGCAGUCAGAGGCGAUGAAGGGCGUGCUAAUCUGCGAUAAGCGCCGGUAAGGUGAUAUGAACCGUUAUAACCGGCGAUACCCGAAUGGGGAAACCCAGUGUGACUCGUCACACUAUCAUUAACUGAAUCCAUAGGUUAAUGAGGCGAACCGGGGGAACUGAAACAUCUAAGUACCCCGAGGAAAAGAAAUCAACCGAGAUUCCCCCAGUAGCGGCGAGCGAACGGGGAGGAGCCCAGAGCCUGAAUCAGCAUGUGUGUUAGUGGAAGCGUCUGGAAAGGCGCGCGAUACAGGGUGACAGCCCCGUACACAAAAGCGCAUGUGCUGUGAGCUCGAUGAGUAGGGCGGGACACGUGGUAUCCUGUCUGAAUAUGGGGGGACCAUCCUCCAAGGCUAAAUACUCCUGACUGACCGAUAGUGAACCAGUACCGUGAGGGAAAGGCGAAAAGAACCCCGGCGAGGGGAGUGAAAAAGAACCUGAAACCGUGUACGUACAAGCAGUGGGAGCACAGGUUUACCUGUGUGACUGCGUACCUUUUGUAUAAUGGGUCAGCGACUUAUAUUCUGUAGCAAGGUUAACCGAAUAGGGGAGCCGGAGGGAAACCGAGUCUUAAUUGGGCGUUAAGUUGCAGGGUAUAGACCCGAAACCCGGUGAUCUAGCCAUGGGCAGGUUGAAGGUUGGGUAACACUAACUGGAGGACCGAACCGACUAAUGUUGAAAAAUUAGCGGAUGACCUGUGGCUGGGGGUGAAAGGCCAAUCAAACCGGGAGAUAGCUGGUUCUCCCCGAAAGCUAUUUAGGUAGCGCCUCGUGAAUUCAUCUCCGGGGGUAGAGCACUGUUUCGGCUAGGGGGCCAUCCCGGCUUACCAACCCGAUGCAAACUGCGAAUACCGGAGAAUGUUAUCACGGGAGACACACGGCGGGUGCUAACGUCCGUCGUGAAGAGGGAAACAACCCAGACCGCCAGCUAAGGUCCCAAAGUCAUGGUUAAGUGGGAAACGAUGUGGGAAGGCCCAGACAGCCAGGAUGUUGGCUUAGAAGCAGCCAUCAUUUAAAGAAAGCGUAAUAGCUCACUGGUCGAGUCGGCCUGCGCGGAAGAUGUAACGGGGCUAAACCAUGCACCGAAGCUGCGGCAGCGACACUGUGUGUUGUUGGGUAGGGGAGCGUUCUGUAAGCCUGUGAAGGUGGCCUGUGAGGGUUGCUGGAGGUAUCAGAAGUGCGAAUGCUGACAUAAGUAACGAUAAAGCGGGUGAAAAGCCCGCUCGCCGGAAGACCAAGGGUUCCUGUCCAACGUUAAUCGGGGCAGGGUGAGUCGACCCCUAAGGCGAGGCCGAAAGGCGUAGUCGAUGGGAAACAGGUUAAUAUUCCUGUACUUGGUGUUACUGCGAAGGGGGGACGGAGAAGGCUAUGUUGGCCGGGCGACGGUUGUCCCGGUUUAAGCGUGUAGGUGUGUGUUCCAGGUAAAUCCGGUUCACUUUAACACUGAGGCGUGAUGACGAGGCACUACGGUGCUGAAGCAACAAAUGCCCUGCUUCCAGGAAAAGCCUCUAAGCAUCAGGUAACAUCAAAUCGUACCCCAAACCGACACAGGUGGUCAGGUAGAGAAUACCAAGGCGCUUGAGAGAACUCGGGUGAAGGAACUAGGCAAAAUGGUGCCGUAACUUCGGGAGAAGGCACGCUGACACGUAGGUGAAGUGAUUUACUCAUGGAGCUGAAGUCAGUCGAAGAUACCAGCUGGCUGCAACUGUUUAUUAAAAACACAGCACUGUGCAAACACGAAAGUGGACGUAUACGGUGUGACGCCUGCCCGGUGCCGGAAGGUUAAUUGAUGGGGUCAGCGCAAGCGAAGCUCCUGAUCGAAGCCCCGGUAAACGGCGGCCGUAACUAUAACGGUCCUAAGGUAGCGAAAUUCCUUGUCGGGUAAGUUCCGACCUGCACGAAUGGCGUAAUGAUGGCCAGGCUGUCUCCACCCGAGACUCAGUGAAAUUGAACUCGCUGUGAAGAUGCAGUGUACCCGCGGCAAGACGGAAAGACCCCGUGAACCUUUACUAUAGCUUGACACUGAACAUUGAGCCUUGAUGUGUAGGAUAGGUGGGAGGCUUUGAAGCGUGGACGCCAGUCUGCGUGGAGCCGACCUUGAAAUACCACCCUUUAAUGUUUGAUGUUCUAACGUGGACCCGUAAUCCGGGUUGCGGACAGUGUCUGGUGGGUAGUUUGACUGGGGCGGUCUCCUCCUAAAGAGUAACGGAGGAGCACGAAGGUUGGCUAAUCCUGGUCGGACAUCAGGAGGUUAGUGCAAUGGCAUAAGCCAGCUUGACUGCGAGCGUGACGGCGCGAGCAGGUGCGAAAGCAGGUCAUAGUGAUCCGGUGGUUCUGAAUGGAAGGGCCAUCGCUCAACGGAUAAAAGGUACUCCGGGGAUAACAGGCUGAUACCGCCCAAGAGUUCAUAUCGACGGCGGUGUUUGGCACCUCGAUGUCGGCUCAUCACAUCCUGGGGCUGAAGUAGGUCCCAAGGGUAUGGCUGUUCGCCAUUUAAAGUGGUACGCGAGCUGGGUUUAGAACGUCGUGAGACAGUUCGGUCCCUAUCUGCCGUGGGCGCUGGAGAACUGAGGGGGGCUGCUCCUAGUACGAGAGGACCGGAGUGGACGCAUCACUGGUGUUCGGGUUGUCAUGCCAAUGGCACUGCCCGGUAGCUAAAUGCGGAAGAGAUAAGUGCUGAAAGCAUCUAAGCACGAAACUUGCCCCGAGAUGAGUUCUCCCUGAGACUUAGAGUCUCCUGAAGGAACGUUGAAGACGACGACGUUGAUAGGCCGGGUGUGUAAGCGCAGCGAUGCGUUGAGCUAACCGGUACUAAUGAACCGUGAGGCUUAACCUU
RNAcentral lists this ribosomal RNA (2907 nucleotides) under Salmonella enterica subsp. enterica serovar Newport. Its description in RNAcentral is "23S ribosomal RNA". It matches the Rfam family "Bacterial large subunit ribosomal RNA". Lineage: Bacteria; Pseudomonadati; Pseudomonadota; Gammaproteobacteria; Enterobacterales; Enterobacteriaceae. The record is from RNAcentral.